This 399-nucleotide ribosomal RNA is filed under the name uncultured bacterium. RNAcentral describes it as "partial 16S ribosomal RNA". It matches the Rfam family "Bacterial small subunit ribosomal RNA", at positions 360 to 776 of the family's 1533-position model. The record is from RNAcentral.
AAUAUUGCACAAUGGGGGAAACCCUGAUGCAGCGACGCCGCGUGAGUGAAGAAGUAUUUCGGUAUGUAAAGCUCUAUCAGCAGGGACGAUAAUGACGGUACCUGACUAAGAAGCCCCGGCUAACUAUGUGCCAGCACCCGCGGUAAUACGUAAGGGGCAAGCGUUAUCCGGAUUUAGUGGGUGUAAAGGGAACGGAGACGGUAGGAUAAGUCAGAUGUGAAAGCCCGGGGCUCAACUCCGGGAUUGCAUUUGAAACUAUCCGACUAGAGUGCAGGAGAGGUAAGUGGAAUUCCUAGUGUAGCGGUGAAAUGCGUAGAUAUUAGGAGGAACACCAGUGGCGAAGGCGGCUUACUGGACUGUAACUGACGUUGAGGCUCGAAAGCGUAGAGAGCAAACAGG